UGAACGCUGGCGGCGUGCCUAAUACAUGCAAAUCGAGCGAACGGACGCGAAGCUUGCUUCUCUGAUGUUAGCGGCGGACGGGUGAGUAACACGUGGAUAACCUACCUAUAAGACUGGGAUAACUUCGGGAAACCGGAGCUAAUACCGGAUAAUAUUUUGAACCGCAUGGUUCAAAAGUGAAAGACGGUCUUGCUGUCACUUAUAGAUGGAUCCGCGCUGCAUUAGCUAGUUGGUAAGGUAACGGCUUACCAAGGCAACGAUGCAUAGCCGACCUGAGAGGGUGAUCGGCCACACUGGAACUGAGACACGGUCCAGACUCCUACGGGAGGCAGCAGUAGGGAAUCUUCCGCAAUGGGCGAAAGCCUGACGGAGCAACGCCGCGUGAGUGAUGAAGGUCUUCGGAUCGUAAAACUCUGUUAUUAGGGAAGAACAUAUGUGUAAGUAACUGUGCACAUCUUGACGGUACCUAAUCAGAAAGCCACGGCUAACUACGUG
This 495-nucleotide ribosomal RNA is filed under the name uncultured bacterium. RNAcentral describes it as "partial 16S ribosomal RNA". It matches the Rfam family "Bacterial small subunit ribosomal RNA", at positions 30 to 507 of the family's 1533-position model. The record is from RNAcentral.